CGGGGUGCAGCAGGCGCGAAAACUUUACAAUGCCGGCAACGGCGAUAAGGGAACCUCGAGUGCCAGGUUACAAAUCUGGCUGUCGUGAUGCCUAAAAAGCAUUGCAUAGCAAGGGCCGGGCAAGACCGGUGCCAGCCGCCGCGGUAACACCGGCGGCUCGAGUGGUAACCGUUAUUAUUGGGUCUAAAGGGUCUGUAGCCGGCCGGGUAAGUCUCUUGGGAAAUCUGGCAGCUUAACUGUCAGGCUUUCAGGAGAUACUGCCUGGCUCGAGGCCGGGAGAGGUGAGAGGUACUUCAGGGGUAGGGGUGAAAUCUUGUAAUCCUUGAAGGACCACCAGUGGCGAAGGCGUCUCACCAGAACGGACCUGACGGCAAGGGACGAAAGCUAGGGGCACGAACCGGAUUAGAUACCCGGGUAGUCCUAGCCGUAAACGAUACUCGCUAGGUGUCGGCCACGGUGCGACCGUGGUCGGUGCCGUAGGGAAGCCGUGAAGCGAGCCACCUGGGAAGUACGGCCGCAAGGCUGAAACUUAAAGGAAUUGGCGGGGGAGCACAAGGGCGAAUCGCG
RNAcentral lists this ribosomal RNA (567 nucleotides) under uncultured archaeon. RNAcentral describes it as "bacterial SSU rRNA". It matches the Rfam family "Archaeal small subunit ribosomal RNA", at positions 326 to 897 of the family's 1478-position model. The record is from RNAcentral.